CCUACGGGAGGCAGCAGUGGGGAAUAUUGCACAAUGGGGGAAACCCUGAUGCAGCGACGCCGCGUGAGUGAAGAAGUAUUUCGGUAUUUAAAGCUCUAUCAGCAGGGAAGAAGAAAGACGGUACCUUACUAAGAAGCCCCGGCUAACUACGUGCAAGCAGGCGCGGUAAAACGGAGGGGGCACGCGUUAUCCGGAUUUGCUGGGUGUAAAGGGAGCGUAGACGGGUGUGCAAGUCUGAAGUGAAAGCCCAGGUCUCAACCCUGGGAAUGCUUGGGAAACUGUGGGGCUAGAGUGCUGGAGAGGUAAGUGGAAUUCCUAGUGUAGCGGUGAAAUGCGUAGAUAUUAGGAGGAACACCAGUGGCGAAGGCAGCUUACUGGACAGUAACUGACGUUGAGGCUCGAAAGCGUGGGGAGCAAACAGGAUUAGAUACCCCUGUAGUC
Molecule: ribosomal RNA, 441 nt
Filed under: uncultured bacterium
Lineage: Bacteria
Description: partial 16S ribosomal RNA
Rfam family: Bacterial small subunit ribosomal RNA
Source: RNAcentral